GGGGAUUUAGCUCAGUGGUAGAGCACUUGCCUAGCAAGCGCAAGGCCCUGAUUUCAGUCCCCA
This 63-nucleotide transfer RNA is filed under the name Rattus norvegicus (Norway rat). It matches the Rfam family "tRNA". Rfam says of the family: Transfer RNA (tRNA) molecules are approximately 80 nucleotides in length. Their secondary structure includes four short double-helical elements and three loops (D, anti-codon, and T loops). Lineage: Eukaryota; Metazoa; Chordata; Mammalia; Rodentia; Muridae. The record is from Rfam by way of RNAcentral.